Molecule: long non-coding RNA, 233 nt
Filed under: Elaeis guineensis (African oil palm)
Lineage: Eukaryota; Viridiplantae; Streptophyta; Magnoliopsida; Arecales; Arecaceae
Description: long non-coding RNA (EGUI_LNC031606)
Source: RNAcentral
UGUUGAUUUUGCCUAUGGUUUCAAAAUUUGGGUUAUGAUUAGUUUAUAUUCAGCAAGUUUGAUGAUUGAAGUGAGCAUUGCUAGAGGAAAUGUUAUUCAAAUUAAUUUGGGGUGGAAAAUGCUUCACUUGACAAUGUUUUGAAUUUCUUCAUGAACUAUAUUUUUCUAGGCCGGAAUGGGUUGGGUUUGGUGAGGUUUGGCUUGGGUUGAGUAGGAAUAACAAACAAAGCCUU